GCGCCAUAGAGAAAGAACUUCAACAAGAGGGGAAACUCUUCAAAAACUGGCAACAGGAAACACGUCACGCCUAGUUUCAACACCAUCCGUUAGUUGACGCGAGCAUCAGAAAAAAAGAAUGUGAAAUAAACUUCCAGACAACGUUUGAUUUUUUUUAUUCCUUCCCACUAAAAGUGAAAAAGUUUUUCGUGUAAAUGAACUUAUACGUUGCAACUUUUUGUUGCGUUGCCUAGCAACAAACUAGCGGCACGCCAGACGCGCGUGCAUACGUCAUGUGCCAGACAAGCCGCAGGAGUGAGCGAGGUCGGCCGUACGUGCGAAGCUCGCGUGCUCGGCGACCCGUCUGUUUUGGAUAUAGCCCAUUUUUUGGGCUCCCGGCCUUCUGUAUGCUUCUCUUGCGUAUCGUCUGCAUUUCGACACGGCACCACUGCACUACUGGACUACGGCAAGCUGAUGGCAUCCGGUGCGGCUUCGUACGGCAACGACUGCUGCUUACCUGGUGCCGCAACUUUGGGUGAAGGCACAAGAAGCCCGGCACGAGCAUUUAUAUAGAGCAAAAUAAAGAUUUCAUCAUUUCAGAA
Molecule: long non-coding RNA, 581 nt
Filed under: Dermacentor andersoni
Lineage: Eukaryota; Metazoa; Arthropoda; Arachnida; Ixodida; Ixodidae
Description: uncharacterized LOC126516723
Source: RNAcentral